Molecule: unclassified non-coding RNA, 630 nt
Filed under: Hevea brasiliensis (rubber tree)
Lineage: Eukaryota; Viridiplantae; Streptophyta; Magnoliopsida; Malpighiales; Euphorbiaceae
Source: RNAcentral
CCAAACUAACUCCUUCCCUAUCACUAGUUUGGCCUUUAUUAUAGAUAUCUAAAUCAUAUCCAUGCUGAUUCAAACCUUGCAGUGGUAGCUCCACCCACUCUAUGGGCAGCCCUUUCCUACCGCAAAAAACUAAAAUGCUGGCAUCCUUCUGACCGGAGCAAAUAUACUAAAUAUAAUUUAGUAUCUCAUAAUGAUAUAAGGGCAUAUCAUGGUUGUUAACACCAUAGUCCAUCAAACUCACAAACUCCAAUAACAUAGUCCUGCUAAAUAAAUCAUUGCUACCCAAGGUAACCAAACAAUUCCGUCAUAGUAAAUCACAAUCUCAUAACAUUUCUCAUAGGUCUCAAAUAUUAAAGCACAUAUGCUAAACCUUGCUAAAAUCAACCGCCUCUCUAUACAAACUAUUAAUCUCAUCAACAUUUACCAUUUGUCUUGGUAUCUCAUAACCUUAAUUCUCUUCCUAAACUUACUAGCAUGCAUGAGAUAUCGGAAUAGCAAUGAGCAACAAUAUAAUAGAAUUAUUUGAACAAUAAAGAUGAAUCGAAUAAUCAAUAUAUUAUCCAAAGCAAAUUAAAAAUUUUCAAAGGAUGAAGAAUUAAUUGAGAAGCAAAUUUGUGCCAUGUAUUGUAA